This is an RNA transcript of Brassica napus (rape), 917 nucleotides long. It is a transcript of the gene named glutamyl-tRNA(Gln) amidotransferase subunit C, chloroplastic/mitochondrial, with no coding region annotated. The record is from RefSeq and is a predicted model, not a curated record. The transcript is spliced from 7 exons. Lineage: Eukaryota; Viridiplantae; Streptophyta; Magnoliopsida; Brassicales; Brassicaceae.
CCUACUCCUCCUAUCCAUCAUGUUCAGUAGUCUUCGGAGAGUUUUCAAUUAAAGCCAUGGCGACCAGAGCUUUGCUUGCCGUUCUAUCUGCUUCACCACCACGCAUGAUCAGAAUCAAAGUCUCAACCUUUCCUUCUUCGUCUUCUUCUUCAAGUAUCAAGUUCCAAAGACAUAUUACAAUAGCUCGAUGCUUCUCGUCGGACACGAACCCCUCCGUUCUUCAGCCGCCGGACGUAUCCCGUCUAGCUGAGACAGCUCGAAUCUCUCUCACCCCAUCCGAGAUUGAGGAAUGUGGAGCUAAGAUUCGUCAAGUCAUCGACUGGUUUGGUCAGCUUCAGCAAGUCGAUGUUAGCAGUGUGGAGCCAGCGAUUAGAGCAGAAAUGGAAGGUGGGAAUUUGCGAGAGGAUGCUCCAGAAACAUUUGAGAACAGGGAAAGUAUAAGAGCUUCGAUUCCAAGCUUUGAUGAGGUGUAUUUGAAAGUACCUAAAGUACUAAACAAAGAGUGACUUUUUUUUGUCAGCUUCUUCGGGUGUGGCUGAAGAGAUUCAUUCUCAGCUCCGGUUAUUGUUCCACCAUCUCUUUGUUUUCUUUAAAAAAAAAAAACUGGUUAGGAGAGAGCAAAGCUUGCUCUACAUUAUCAAGUCUCGCGUAGUCUAUUACUCUACAACAUGGUGAUACUUUAUAAUCUCAAUCCAUCCAUUUCGAUCGGUGAUCGUUUUUAAACCCGGGCCAGUCCAUUGUUCUACAACACACAAGCUCAUAGCAUUCCUUAUGUUGAACGUUGUUUUGUCCAAUGGCAUGACUCGGCAUUGUGACCGAGUCAAUGGUCGAACCGGUCCAACUGGUUUAACCAGAUUUUUAAUAAUUAAGCAUAAAUAUAAAAUUAUAUAUUAAUUUAUAUAAUAUUUUUUUAUCAA